ACCACCUCAAGGAAAGUGUUCACUCAUUCGUUCUCUGCUCAUUUGGCCACUAAUCCACCCAAACACCUACUAUGUACAGGCACAGGAUUGGGUUCAGGGGAGAUUGAAAGAGGCCAAGAGCUUGUGGCCUAGAAGGGACCAGAGGGUGCCAGUGAUCACAGGGGUUCAGAGUCCUAGGGCGGCAUGGCCAAGAGUGCUGGCAAAGCAACCUGGGGGCAGCUCAGCAGCCUUCCAGAGGACUGUCACUUGGAUCCAUCCUGAGGGCUCAGCAAACGUCGCUGGAGCCCCCAGAGGCUGGAGGACAGGGGUCUGAGGAGCCAUAUGCUCUAAAGCUUGGAGAUCAAAGAAAGCCUCGUUUGAUGCCUGCAAGUGAAAUAAGUUUCAUGUCCCUGAGAGGAGUGAACACUGGGGAUGUCAGCAUAGAGAGUGGGACGGUGAGAAAGUAGGCUGGGAGAAGGACAUGCAGCUUCCAUGUGAACUUGAAGUUGAAAGACCCAAGGGAUUUCAGGACAGGAAUGGCUGGAUUGUAUACAGUUGAUGUGUUUGAUGGUGUGAAAAAACACAC
This 565-nucleotide long non-coding RNA is filed under the name Marmota monax (woodchuck). Lineage: Eukaryota; Metazoa; Chordata; Mammalia; Rodentia; Sciuridae. The record is from RNAcentral.